CCGUAGACCAUGGGAGUCAACACGUCCUGCCCCUAAUUAUGAUCUGUGUCCGGAGUUGAUUGCAAUAGGUCAAAACCAACCCUUUUCUAUAGCUGAGGUCCUAUAUUUUAAUCAAGAAGAUAAUGCACUUUUAGCUACACCUAGGGAAUCUGUUAAUCUUUUUAUAAAUUCUGGUUUAGACCUAACCCUACAAGACCAUGUUUUUCCUAGAUAUUUUC
RNAcentral lists this long non-coding RNA (218 nucleotides) under Sorghum bicolor (sorghum). RNAcentral describes it as "long non-coding RNA (SBIC_LNC004683)". Lineage: Eukaryota; Viridiplantae; Streptophyta; Magnoliopsida; Poales; Poaceae. The record is from RNAcentral.